GCGCCCGUAGCUCAGUAGGAUAGAGCAUCGGUUUCCUAAACCGGAGGUCGGAGGUUCGAGUCCUCCCGGGCGUA
Molecule: transfer RNA, 74 nt
Filed under: archaeon
Lineage: Archaea
Also listed under: 1 other name
Description: tRNA-Arg
Rfam family: tRNA
About the family: Transfer RNA (tRNA) molecules are approximately 80 nucleotides in length.
Source: RNAcentral